Long non-coding RNA from Oncorhynchus tshawytscha (Chinook salmon), 435 nucleotides. The record is from Ensembl. Lineage: Eukaryota; Metazoa; Chordata; Actinopteri; Salmoniformes; Salmonidae.
GGUCUAAGGCACUGCAUCUCAGUGCUAGAGGCGUCACUACAGACCCUGGUUCAGCGGUCUAAGGCACUGCAUCUCAGUGCUAGAGGUGUCACUACAGACCCUGGUUCAGCGGUCUAAUGCACUGUAUCUCAGUGCUAGAGGUGCCACUACAGACCCUGGUUCGAAAUCCAGGCUGUAUCACAACCGGCCGUGAUUGGGAGUCCCGUAGGGCAGAGCACAAUUGGCCCAGCGUCGUCCGGGUUUUGGCCCCGGUGUAGGCCGUCAUUGUAAAUAAAGAAUUUAUUCUUAAACGGACUUGCCCUAGAUAUAUAAAGGUUACAUCAUUAUUAUUUUCAGUAUCACUUUCUCAGUAUCCCGUCUCUAUGCAACAGACUGACAGUAGCCAAGAAGUAGAGUUAGGUGCUCAAGGGGGCUACAGAGGACGAAGGUAGGAGA